GCUGGGUAUGGUGGCGCAUGCCCAUAAUCCCAGCUACUCAGGAGGCUAAGGCAGGAGGAUUGCUUGAGCCCAGGGGGUCGAGGCUGCAGUGGGCCAUGACUGCACUACUGCACUCUAGCCUGGGUGACAGAGUAAGACCCUGUCUCAA
RNAcentral lists this non-coding RNA (148 nucleotides) under Pan troglodytes (chimpanzee). Lineage: Eukaryota; Metazoa; Chordata; Mammalia; Primates; Hominidae. The record is from Rfam by way of RNAcentral.